GAAUAAUGAAGCGAUUUAUUGCAAUUAGUUUCGACCUAAUCUUAGAUGUUUACAUCCUUAUUCU
RNAcentral lists this transfer RNA (64 nucleotides) under Neopanorpa pulchra. Its description in RNAcentral is "tRNA-Arg". Lineage: Eukaryota; Metazoa; Arthropoda; Insecta; Mecoptera; Panorpidae. The record is from RNAcentral. RNAcentral also lists the same sequence under 1 other name.